AUUGAACGCUGGCGGAAUGCCUUACACAUGCAAGUCGAACGGUAGCGGGCCUUCGGGUGCCGACGAGUGGCGAACGGGUGAGUAAUGCAUCGGAACGUGCCAUUGAGUGGGGGAUAACGUAGCGAAAGUUACGCUAAUACCGCAUAUUCUGUGAGCAGGAAAGCAGGGGACCGCAAGGCCUUGCGCUCUUUGAGCGGCCGAUGUCAGAUUAGCUAGUUGGUGAGGUAAAGGCUUACCAAGGCGACGAUCUGUAGCGGGUCUGAGAGGAUGAUCCGCCACACUGGAACUGAGACACGGUCCAGACUCCUACGGGAGGCAGCAGUGGGGGAAUUUUGGACAAUGGGGCAACCCUGAUCCAGCCAUGCCGCGUGAGUGAAGAAGGCCU
RNAcentral lists this ribosomal RNA (385 nucleotides) under uncultured bacterium. RNAcentral describes it as "bacterial SSU rRNA". It matches the Rfam family "Bacterial small subunit ribosomal RNA", at positions 30 to 417 of the family's 1533-position model. The record is from RNAcentral.